RNAcentral lists this ribosomal RNA (460 nucleotides) under uncultured bacterium. RNAcentral's name for it is "partial 16S ribosomal RNA". It matches the Rfam family "Bacterial small subunit ribosomal RNA", at positions 338 to 795 of the family's 1533-position model. The record is from RNAcentral.
CCUACGGGUGGCAGCAGUGAGGAAUAUUGGUCAAUGGACGAGAGUCUGAACCAGCGAAGUAGCGUGAAGGAUGACUGCCCUAUGGUUUGUAAACUUCUUUUAUAAAGUAGUAAGACGAGGCUCGUGUUCCUUUUUGCAUGUACUUUAUGAGUAAGGAUCGGCUAACUCCGUUCCAGCAGCCGCGGUAAUACGGAGGAUCCGAGCGUUAUCCGGAUUGAUUGGGUGUAAAGGGGGCGUAGAUGGGUUGUUAAGUCAGUUGUGAAAGUUUGCGGCUCAACCGUAAAAUUGAAAUUGAUACUGGCAGUCGUGAGUACAGUUGAGGGAGGCGGAAUUCGUGGUGUAGCGGUGAAAUGCUUAGAUAUCACGAAGAACCCCGAUUGCGAAGGCAGCUUACUAAACUGUGACUGACAUUGAUGCUCGAAAGUGUGGGUAGCAAACAGGAUUAGAGACCCUGGUAGUC